RNAcentral lists this ribosomal RNA (253 nucleotides) under uncultured bacterium. Its description in RNAcentral is "partial 16S ribosomal RNA". It matches the Rfam family "Bacterial small subunit ribosomal RNA", at positions 524 to 776 of the family's 1533-position model. The record is from RNAcentral.
UACGAAGGGGGCUAGCGUUGCUCGGAAUCACUGGGCGUAAAGCGCACGUAGGCGGCUUUUUAAGUCAGGGGUGAAAUCCUGGAGCUCAACUCCAGAACUGCCUUUGAUACUGAGAAGCUUGAGUCCGGGAGAGGUGAGUGGAAUUCCCAGUGUAGAGGUGAAAUUCGUAGAUAUUGGGAAGAACACCGGUGGCGAAGGCGGCUCACUGGCCCGUAGCUGACGCUCAUGCACGACAGCGUGGGGAUCAAACAGG